Otolemur garnettii (small-eared galago) is the source of this 1328-nucleotide RNA transcript. It is a transcript of the gene named ezrin pseudogene, with no coding region annotated. The transcript has 2 exons. Lineage: Eukaryota; Metazoa; Chordata; Mammalia; Primates; Galagidae. The record is from RefSeq and is a predicted model, not a curated record.
GCUGGAGAGUCGUGUUUCGGGGGACUGAGGAAACCUAUCAGGAACGGAAGAUGCUGAAACCAAUCAAUGUCUGGAUUACCACCAUGGAUGCAGAGCUGGAGUUUGCAAUCCAGCCAAAUACAACUGGAAAACAACUUUUUGAUCAAGUUGUUAAGACUAUUGGCCUCCAGGAAGUGUGGUACUUUGGCCUCCAGUAUGUGGAUAAUAAAGGAUUUCCUACUUGGCUGAAACUUGAUAAAAAGGUGUCUGCCCAGGAGCUCAGGAAGGAGAAUCCCCUCCAGUUCAAGUUUCGGUCCAAGUUCUACCCUGAAGACAUGGCUGAGGAGCUCCUCCAGGACAUCACCCAGAAACUCUUCUUCCUCCAAGUGAAGGCGGGAAUCCUCAGUGACGAGAUUUACUGCCCUCCCAAGACCGCAGUGCUCCUGGGGUCCUAUGUUGUGCAGGCCAAGUUUGGGGAUUAUAACAAAGAGGUGCACAAGGCCAGGUACCCAACUCAGAGCGGCUGAUCCCUCAGAGAGUUAUGGACCAGCACAAACUCACCAGGGACCAGUGGGAGGACCGGAUCCAGGUGUGGCACGCGGAGCACCACAGGAUGCUCAAAGACAGUGCUAUGCUGGAGUAUCUCAAGAUAGCUCAGGACUUGGAAAUGUAUGGGAUCAACUAUUUCGAGAUCAAAAAUAAGAAAGGAACAGACCUCUGGCUUGGAGUUAAUGCCCUUGGACUAAAUAUUUACGAGAAGGAUGAUAAAAUUGACCCCAAAGAUUGGCUUCCAGGCUCGGCGCCUGUGGCUCAAAAUCUGGUCACCCUAGGCAAGGAGGAUAAGGUGGAAGAGUGGCAGCACAGGGCAGCACAGGAGGACCUGGUGAAGACCAAGGAGGCGCUGCACCUGGCGAUGACGGCGCCCCCACCCUCGCUACCCCUCCUGUAUGAGCCAGUCACCUACCACAUGCCCGAGGGCCUGCAAGAGGAGGAGGGCACAGAGCCCAUGGGCUAUAGCGGGGAGCUGUCCAGUGAGGGCAUCCUGGACGACCGAAACGAAGAGAAGCGCAUCACCGAGGCUGAGAAGAACGAGCGCGUGCAGCGGCAGCUGCUGACGCUGAGCAACGAGCUGUCCCAGGCCAGAGAUGAGAACAAGAGGACCCACAACGACAUCAUCCACAACGAGAACAUGAGGCAGGGCCGGGACAAGUACAAGACGCUGAGGCAGAUUCGGCAGGGCAACACCAAGCAGCGGAUCGAUGAGUUUGAGGCCAUGUAAUGGCCAGGACUGUGGGCAGAGGGGCACCCGGAGGGCCCUGCCAGCCUUGUCACACCUGUAUCUUUAGCAC